RNAcentral lists this ribosomal RNA (297 nucleotides) under uncultured bacterium. Its description in RNAcentral is "partial 16S ribosomal RNA". It matches the Rfam family "Bacterial small subunit ribosomal RNA", at positions 773 to 1060 of the family's 1533-position model. The record is from RNAcentral.
GUGGAUUAGAUACCCUAGUAGUCCACGCGGUAAACGAUGAGAACUAGCUGUGAGGUGUGGGGCAAUUGCUCUGCGCGACGUAGCGAAGCUAACGCGUUAAGUUCUCCGCCUGGGGAGUACGGCCGCAAGGUUAAAACUCAAAGGAAUUGACGGGGGCCCGCACAAGCGGUGGAGCAUGUGGUUUAAUUCGAUGCAACCCGAAGAACCUUACCUACCCUUGACAUCCUUGGAAGGGCGCAGAGAUGUGCCUGUGCCGAAAGGAACCAAGAGACAGGUGCUGCACGGUCGUCGCCAGCU